RNAcentral lists this non-coding RNA (23 nucleotides) under Cricetulus griseus (Chinese hamster). Lineage: Eukaryota; Metazoa; Chordata; Mammalia; Rodentia; Cricetidae. The record is from RNAcentral.
UUAUAAAUGCUGUGGUUCCUGGC